Molecule: long non-coding RNA, 679 nt
Organism: Malus domestica (apple)
Lineage: Eukaryota; Viridiplantae; Streptophyta; Magnoliopsida; Rosales; Rosaceae
Source: RefSeq, a predicted model, not a curated record
UGGACCACACACACACCUCCAGUUGACCUUUCUCUUUCCUCCCUCCCUCGGAUCUUCUUCCAUUUCUGUACAACCAGUACAGACAACCUUCAAACUCCUUCAACCAGUAGCGGAUCGAAGCUGGGGAAGUGAUUUUUGUGUUCCUUGCAAGUCCAGGAGCUUAUCUAUACCAUUUUUGGUGAUUUGAAGCUUUUAGGACGUUUUAAAACAUCCCUAUGAAGCUCGGAGAAGAAAAACCAAGUAAAUUGGACGUCGGGAAAGUGAGAUUGGCGAGUUUUAAGUUUGGUCGGAUUCUCGUGGAUUUUUCCGACAAGAUCCCGUGAGUUUUAGGUCCUAAAACUGUUUUUCCAGUUUUUCUGGCAAUGACGACGGUCUGGCGAACCAAAGGAGACGACGGAAUAUUCCAACGGCGUCAGGGGAGACUUAUCCCGAGGACGAGCGUAGUCAAGGGCGACUCGGAGGCUACGAUCCUUCAACAUACUAGUUUUAGGUAGACUUGCUGAUGGAGGCAUUGAGGAUCUCGGCGGUUCUAACAAAAUAAAAUAUUCGUAGGAUAUCUUCUGGUACUGUAUAACUAGUACUUGUCCUACUGGACUGUACCUAGACUUUCUAUGCUCUGAUUAGAAGUAUUUACUCAUGUAUCUCACUCUUAGCAUUUUCUGCAUAUUAGUACACAGUA